AAAAAGGGUCUGAUCUAAUGCCAGUGGACUGAGUGGGGGCCCCAGCAAGGCCUGGUGAGACUCUUCUUGGCCUCUCAGGGCAGCAUUUCUUCCUUCUGGUUAUCAGACAGGACCCUCUCUGGAAUGGGGGUCUUAUGAAUUACGGGCAAACAAGAUAGGUCAGAUAAUUUCUUUAUGGCCAGUUUUUACAGGGAAGUGGCAACAGGGGGUGGUUUUAGAGUAAUAGUUUUAGGUUUUGUGGCUGGCUUUGAGGGAAAGAGGUUCUGGUUUCUAUGACCACCUAGGGGAAGAGGGAUUCUGGUUUUCAGCUUCAGGGCAGAAUGAAGGGCCAGAAACAGGAGGGAAGGAGGUCAGAGAGAGCUGCUUCUGAAGCCUUCAUUUUGGGGUGUUGUAUUCUGAGACCCUCACUAGUCACAGAACCCCAUCCAACCACAAGGAAUCUGGGCAGUGCAAUCCUACUAUAAGUCCAGAACGCAUCCUGAGGAGCACUAAAGACAAUCUCAGAUGCAGAAAUGAGAAACAAGCUCUGAGAGAUGGAAUCAAUGGGACAUUGGAAUUGUCUCGGGCAGGAGGAAGAUACCCUUCCCUCUCCCCUCCCCCACUGAGGCAAGACAGAAGCAUAUGCGUUUCCGAUUGCUGCUGUGACAAAUUUUCACAAACAUAGCAACUUAAACCACACAAAUUUAUAUCUUUACAGUUAUGUAGAUCAGAAGCCUUGGCUGGUUGCUCUGCUGUGGGAUUCACAAGGCCAAAAUUAAGGUGUUGGUUCACUGGGUUCC
This 779-nucleotide long non-coding RNA is filed under the name Homo sapiens (human). RNAcentral's name for it is "HSALNT0084437". Lineage: Eukaryota; Metazoa; Chordata; Mammalia; Primates; Hominidae. The record is from RNAcentral.